Molecule: long non-coding RNA, 9322 nt
Filed under: Sorghum bicolor (sorghum)
Lineage: Eukaryota; Viridiplantae; Streptophyta; Magnoliopsida; Poales; Poaceae
Description: long non-coding RNA (SBIC_LNC002463)
Source: RNAcentral
CUCUCCCAUGUGCGAGGCGCCGGUUGUAUGGGGUCCGCACACUUACCAUUAGACUAGCCCGAGUGGCAAGUCCAGAUGUUGCAGGGACACGUAGGGUGACAAGAAGGAUGAUGCAAGCCGCCCAGAUGGAGCAAGGAGGAUCCUCGCACCAUGACGUUGAAGAGGGCGAUGAAGCGAUGUCAGUGGAUGCUUCAGACUCCAUGGGUCUACCUCCACAACGCACUCCACGCCCAAGGGACAGGGCUAGGCGUCACCAGCCCACAGGUAUGGACAGUCUCAUUAAUGACAUGGGCGAAUUGCAGAUUGGGCAAGAAGCAACAUUGCAACUGGCGUUACAAAACGGCCAACAUAUCCGACGUGUGCGAGAGGAAGACGCACAACGCUGGGCUGGAUGGUACCAAAAUUUCCCGCCACCACAGUGAGCGAAGAUCUAGCUUGGGGGAGAUCCUCUCCCCCACUAAGGUAAGUAUUCUAUCCUAUUUAUUUUCAUGCAUUUUAUCAUUCUUACUUAAAAAAAAUAAUAAUAAUAAAAAAUAAAUAUUUAUUAGCAUUUCCCUUUAGCAUAUAUGCUUCAUGUAUGUUUAUAUCCCUCAUGGAAAUUAUGACUAGUUGCUUGUUAAAUGUUUCUCUAGUGCCUAGUAUACAACUUAGUAUUUCUCUAAGUAUGGAUCACUUAGCUCACUUAAACUGCCAUGAACCUAAAAACUUUGUGGGUUGCAAGUGCUAGAACUAAGUCUAAGUUGUUGUGGGACAUGAGAUAGUAAGACAAGAGCUACUAUAAUAUUUUUCUAAGCAUGCAUGAUUAUCAGAGAUUUAUUCUUAAAAUGAUCAAAACCUUAAUUGUUCCUCAAUGGUGAUGAAUUCCUACCACAGCCAUAUCUACUUUACAUAAUUGCAACCUUUCCACAUAAGCUAUUUGCUUUGUGUUGAGUGUCGUCAAGUCUUGUUGACCCUUGUUAAGAGACUUUUCAUGCUCCUAAGAUCAAGAUCACGUACACACCACAUAUAUAUAUGCUGCUUCUACACUGGAAGUACGCAACCACAUGUAUUUCGCAUCCACUAAAUAGGUUGCUCCAUACUCUAAAUGUUAGAACAUCUCUCUAAGCAUUAUUUGGUAAAUGAGACAUCAAAAGGCUAGGCAAAAUGAAAUAAAAAGAUGGACAUGUGCAAGUCCACAGAAAAAGAAAAUUGAGCACAUGAAAGCUCAUAUAUAGAAAAAAAAAGAAGAAAAAAAUGCUAGCCAUGUCUCAAUACAUAGAGAGUCUAUCAAAUAAAGGAGCAACCUAGUCCACCAUAUAUCACACUUGCACAUCUUGAUCUGGGAGUAUGACACUUCUCUUCAAGGAUCCGAGCUUUGACUUCGCAAUACAUGCAAAGUAAGUAUGCUAUCUCCUUUCAUCCCUACCUUGAACUCCACAUAAGCCUUUUAGAAAUAGGAUGAAAUAGAGAAGGCAACUCUUACCAUAUGCCUUGGUGAGGAAUCAUACACCAUUUGAGUGACAUGAGAGAACCAUAAGAGGAACAUUUAAGCUUUCUUUUGAAAAUAUCACAAACCUCUGAUAUGAAACUUGCUAAGAAUGAGAAAGUUAGUGCUCAAGUCAAACUGUUCUGUCUCUCAACCACCUAAGACAAAGGAAAAGCCAUAAGCCCCAUAAGGGACUAAGGUAAUAGGGGUAAGUUUACAUAGCUAAAUUUUUCAUGCAAAGAGAAGAACUUUGUUGUACACAUGGUACUCUUGAAAUGUGAACAUAGUAACAAUACCUGAUCCACCGAGGCUAAGUUUGAUUGUUUGCUCGGGACGAGCAAAGGUUAAGCUUGGGGGAUCUUGUUGACGGUGGAUAUACCAUAGAAAUCCACAUACAAAACACCGUCAACAUGCCUCGGUUGCAAGGGGAAACGACAUGACAUGAACAUAUUUUAUCCAUAACUAGUUCCACUUGUACUCUUAGCUUGUUUAUGCAGGAACAACAAAUUCAAGACAUUAUUUGACAAAUCCAACAUCAGAAUCAUCAAGAGGAGAUCGAGGGGACAACAGGUGACACCCUGGGCCCACAGGGAGGGGGUCGCCCGACCCCUCUUUGGUGGGACCCAGGUGUGCCACCUAGUCCACCGACAUAAGGGACCCCUGUGGACACUGCUGGUGGGCCCAGAGGCCCAGAAGUGGGGUCGCCCGACCCCACAUCAAAGGCGGUUCCAGGGUCGGUGGCCUCCCACCGACCUUCCCCACAUGUCCCACAUGUUGAUUUGCCCCUGCCGUUGAUCAAAUGGCGGUUGUGAGGUCGGUUUGAUCCAAGGGUGGAGAGAAGAUGUCACGCGGAUCGAUGACGUGGCGAUGGAGUAACCCCUACUCCAUCUCCCUCUAUAAAAGGCAGCCUCCAUCCUUCAUUUCAAGUGUGCAAUUCCAAGGCCAAGUGCAUUACAAGUUCCAAGCAUACAAGUAGAGUAGUAGUUAGUCUAGAGUGGGAGUUAGAGUCGAGUCGAGCGAAGCUCGGGGUCUCCGGAGUCGUCUUCUGGAGAGUCUGGUAUAGCUCUUGUACCUUUCUACUUUUGUAAGACUUUCCUUUUAUUAAUAUAUUAUUCUUACUUUACUUUACUGAGUUCUUACUUAGUGCAAGUCUUUUAGUCUUGUUGUGCAUUUACUUUAGUAAUAUAGUUGUCUUAGUGAAGUUAGUGACCUGUAACCACUCCUGUGUGUGCAUCAUCGUCCUAUCUUGUAUAGGAGCUCUAGCUAGCUGCAACUAGUUAGCGUUGUAGGAUUAAGUGUGAGCGUGGUGCUCAUACUUAAGAUUACCUUUGAUUACCGCUGGCUUGAACGGAAAGUAGGAGCGCACUCCCUAGUAGGUGACAGAUCGUGGGCGGCAUUAGGUUCUCCUCACGUACAGGCUAGUUCUUAAAAGGUAAGGCGUCCAUAAGCCCAAUAGUCGCUUUCGGUAAGGGGUUAGGUGAAAAACCUUCUAAGCGUCUUACCAGCUCGGCUAUCCCUCGCACACAGUUAGUAAGGCUCUAGCGUAGUUAAGACAAUUAUCUAUUAAAGUAAGUCACAGAAGUCAAGUUAGAUACAUAGGAGUCCUUUACUCACUCGUUGUCCUCCCACCUAGCUAACUCUACCAUUUACCUUUAGCAUAGGACCUUGGAUUCACCACUACCCUUCCUAUUCGUUAUUUACCACCCUUAUUCACUAGUUGAUACUAGAUAACUCAAGGAAUCUCAUUCCCCUUUUUGUUAAACACACUUAGCCGCUUUCCCUUGGGAAAAUAUAAAUUACGAUACCUUGGAAUACUCCUUGGUGAAGUGCUACAGCGGUACAUUCUGUGCGCUUGCGGAAUUAUCCAAUAGUAAAUAGAGUUACCCUACCAGGGCACUUCUGGCGCCGUCGCCGAUAUCCGGUGGUUGCGUUAAGAAGUGUCAACAAGCAUUUCUAGCGCCGUUGCCGGGGAGAGCGUCUGUCUAAGAGUUUUAACAAAAAGAGAAUCCAGAGUUUGCUAGUUAUCAAGUAGUGAUAGGGAUAACCCAUCACUUGUCUUGUCUUCCUUUAUUGUGAAGCCUGACAGUGUAUGAGCGGUUUCCAAUUGCCGUCAAACUUCGUUGAAGAUCCUGAGCAACUGUUGAGGAGAACUAGACGUCGUCAAGUUCCACCUCAAAGGUUCAUCUCGAACCUGAAUCCGUUAGAGGAAGGAGUAUCUGCACCGGUUAUCAAAGAAGCUAUGGCCCAGAAGACCAUCUCUGAGUACUCUGCGCCGUCGGCUGACAAUGUCGCCACGGGUCCGCAGCUUAACUUGGGGAUGCGACUUUUGAGUUGAAGCCUGCGCUUAUCAAUAUGGUGCAAGCUAAUCCCUUCUGUGGAAAGCCACACGAGGAUGCCAAUGCCCAUCUCCAACACUUCUUGGAGGUGUGCGGCACCUUCACCAUCAAGAAUGUCGCCGCAGACGCCAUCCGUCUUCGCCUCUUCCCAUUCUCGUUAUUGGGGAAGGCGAAGCAAUGGUUCUACGCCAACAAGGGUGAAGUGACCACGUGGGAGAGGUGCGCCAAUGCAUUUCUCAAGAAGAUGUUUCCGAUGGGCAAGACCAGCGCCCUUCGUGGAAAGAUUUCCAGCUUCCAACAGCAAGCAGAUGAGACGAUUCCCGAAGCAUGGGAACGUCUGCAGGAGUACAUUCGCGCCUGUCCUCAUCAUGGGAUAGAGGAGUGGCUCCUAAUCCAAGGUUUCUACCAUGGCCUGACCGGUUUGGCCCGUAGUCACCUUGAUGCUGCCGCUGGAGGAGCAUUCUUGCAACACAAUGUCAAGGAUGCCAAGGACCUCAUUGAAAAGAUGGUUAUAAACCAAGGAUGGAAUGAGGAACGCCUCCAACCCAAGAGAAGAGGUGUCCAUGCCUUGAAUGAGGUGGACAUGCUCUGUGCUAAGAUGGACCUCUUAAUGAAGAAGAUGGAAGAAAGUUCCAAGCAAGAGACCAUUCAACCUUACGCCACUGCACGGGCCAUUGAAUCUGAUUCAUGGUGCGAAGUGUGCGGAGGAGAUGAUCAUUCGGGAAACAAUUGUCCCGAAACAAAGGAGGAAGUGAGCUUCAUCAACAACAACAACAAUGGGUACCGGCCCCAACAACAGCAAUGGAACUCGCGCCCUUCUACCAAGGUAAUCAAGGUAAUGGUUACAAUCAAAAUUUCAAUAAUUCUUUUGGUAACCAACCUUCUCUUAGAGAUCUUGUCUUAGGCCAAUCUAAAAUCAAUGAUAGCAUUAACAAGAAAAUGAUGGCUAAUGAUAAGAUCCUUGAAAACUUAAGUGAAAAGUUGGAUAGCUUUAACUCUGCUAUGAAAAAUCAGUUGAGCUUUAACAAAAUGCUAGAAACACAAUUAGCUCAAUUAGCAGCAGCUGUCCCAUCCUUCGAGCAAGGUAAGAUCCCAGGGAAACCUGAGGACCCAAUUGAAGGAGUUAAACUAGUUACUACGAGGUUCGGUAAGCCUCCGGUACAAUCCAACUGGAGCUAUCUUCUGGAUUCGCCCUUCAUCACCAAGAAGGACGACCCAGGCCUGCCGACCAUCACCUGUGAGAUCGGACCGCAAAUCUUCCACAACGCCUUCUGCGACCUUGGAUCGGGUGUCAACAUCAUGGCCAAGGUAACUUAUGAUAAUUUGCUAGGGGGGCCUUUGCACCCCACAUUUGUUCGUUUGCAGAUGGCAGAUCAGACGAUCAGGUUCCCUGAGGGGUUGGCAAGGGACAUACUGGUAAAGGUCCAAGACGACUACGUCCCUGCCGACUUCAUCAUUUUGGAUAUGGGAUCCAAUAAUGAUGUCUCGAUCAUCUUGGGAAGGCCAUUCCUCAACACGGUCAAUGCAGUCAUCUAUGUGGGGUCCGGCCAGAUUCACCUCCAAUUCCCAGGAUGGAAGGUAAAAUGUCCAUUCAAUGGUUAUAAAGCUAACAUGCAGGUGAAGGACAAAGAACCUCCGACUAAGCCUCGCCACAUCCGACGCCGAAGGGACAAGAGAGGUAAGUCGGCCAAAAGGGCCGAAAAGAAAGAAGAGGAACCCGCUGAACCAAAAAUCAAUACCAAGCAAGUAUGGCGGGAGAAAGAGGUGCAAUCAAGGUUCACGUCUCCGGGACCAUCUGAUGCACCCGAAGGAUGAACAAGAUGGAGAGGUCCUGCUCUACGGACCUAAAACAUGGAGCCCUUGCUGAUAAGGCAAAUCAGUAGUUAUCCCAUAUUUAUUUUCUGCAUUUCAAUUUCUACUAUUCACUUUUCAAUUGCAUUCUUACUUUGAAUUUUGCAUAUCUUAUUUCGACAAAAUGUUUAGCCAUAAUAAAUAAAAUCUUGAGAAUAACUUGUCAUAAAAAUUUGAGCUGCUGGAGCUCCCAAAAGGGGGGUCGCCCGACCCCACCUUGGGGCCCACUUCACCGCAUUUCAACCUUGCUAGUCAUAGAGGUUCCAACCCAGCACUUGGAUGCUCUGGGAGCUCCAAUGUGGGGGUCGGCCGACCCCCAUAUUGGCCCCACUUGCCUCCUGCUGGCCACCAUUUGAAUCACAAUGGAGUCCUAUGCUUGUAACACUAGCUAAAGUUUGAAAAAGAGUGGUCCCUUGAUCCUUUACUUUAGUCAUAAGAUGCUCCUUUCAUCUUUGAUUCUUUUGGGACCACUCCACUAGCUUAAAUUCUGCAAAGUGGUCACCUAGGCAUGCUUGAGUGCUCCCAUGGUCCAUAGGAAUCACUUUAGACAUGUCUCCACUUUUGCCAUUCAUCUUUUACCUUUCACAAAGCACUAAAACAGGGAAUCUCAGAAACAAUUUGAAAACUUUUGGUCCACGCCUAGCCUUUACUUUUCCGGACAAUCAAUGACACAAUGUUUAAAGUGGAGGAGGGGCUAGGAUGGGGGUUGGCCGACCCCCAUUUUGGACCAUCUCUGCAAAAUCUUGAAAGCAUGCAGAAUGGUUCCCUGCAUAAAGCUAAACUCAAAUUCAAAGUGCUUCUAGGGGGGGUCGGCCGACCCCUAUAUUGUGGGUCCACUACUUGCCCUUCUCCCCCUAUAAAUACCACAGCAUUGUGAGCUCAACUCCACACCCAAAACCACCAGAACCAUUUCGAGCUCACAAUCCUUUCUCUUCUCUCUUUGUUACAAGCCAUUUCUCAAGUUUAGUUUAGAAAUAGUCAUCAAAACAAAAACCCAAAAAGAUUCCCCUUGCAUAGUAGUAGUAGUAGGAGCUUGGUUUGCCUCACUCGUGUAGGAGGAUGAAGAAGCAUAUCUUCGGCAAGUUCAAGAAAGCAAAGGGUGAGAGCUCUUCUCAAGGCUCUCACCAUGCUCAUGGAAGGGAGGAAGAAGAAGGUUACCAUGGGAUGGUACCCUACGAGCCUCCAUCAAGGAUGAGAGAGCCCGAGAGCGGCCUCAUGUUAAGCCAAGAAGAGUUGCAAAGGUACUACAUCAUCCGAGAGGGUCUCUUCCUACACACUAGCAUCAUCGAUCCGGACCUUUUGGCCCGCACAGGUAUGAAUAUUGAAUUCGAUAAGGUGUUUAGAGCAAUUGGUUGGAGUAGUUUUUUGGCAAGUGCCUGAAUUUGGAAAAGAAUUGCUUGCUAAGGAAUUUCUAUGCACCCUAAAACUCACAAAUAAUGGAAUAUCUUUUCGCAUGUGUGAGCAAGAACAUCAAUUAAAUUGGAGUUUGCUAAACACUGCUUUAGGGUGUGAACAUGAAUGUGAACUUGAUCUAGAUCAUGCCACUAGAAUGUUCGAUAAAAUUAGAUUCUGGAAAGCAAUUUCUGGCUCUAAUGAUUGUUCAAAUCCUACUCCCAUUGAAAUCCAUAAUCCAACCUUGCGCUUUCUUCACUUCUGGAUCAUGUGCACUCUAUAUCCUGGCAUGGGAACUGAUACUUUAAUUGAUGAUGAACUUAAAAUUCUCUAUGCCAUGGUUAGUAAAAUCAAGGUCUCCCCUGUGAAACUGCUAGUGAACUAUUGGCUUAACUCUAUUGAGUAUGGGAAGCCCAUCUAUUUCACAUCCUUUAUUACUCGAAUAGCCGAUACUUUUGGAUUACUUGAAUCACAUUAUUUUGAAGACAUUGGCUAUGUUAGAGGAGUGGUAGAUGAGAACUUCUUUAUCAAUGCUAACAUGCUCAUAAGAGAUCCAAAUGGUGAACUUAAAAUGAUUUAUCCGGGCUAUACAACCGAAAUUCCUCUCCCAUGUGCGAGGCGCCGGUUGUAUGGGGUCCGCACACUUACCAUUAGACUAGCCCGAGUGGCAAGUCCAGAUGUUGCAGGGACACGCAGGGUGACAAGAAGGAUGAUGCAAGCCGCCCAGAUGGAGCAAGGAGGAUCCUCGCACCAUGACGUUGAAGAGGGCGAUGAAGCGAUGUCAGUGGAUGCUUCAGACUCCAUGGGUCUACCUCCACAACGCACUCCACGCCCAAGGGACAGGGCUAGGCGUCACCAGCCCACAGGUAUGGACAGUCUCAUUAAUGACAUGGGCGAAUUGCAGAUUGGGCAAGAAGCAACAUUGCAACUGGCGUUACAAAACGGCCAACAUAUCCGACGUGUGCGAGAGGAAGACGCACAACGCUGGGCUGGAUGGUACCAAAAUUUCCCGCCACCACAGUGAGCGAAGAUCUAGCUUGGGGGAGAUCCUCUCCCCCACUAAGGUAAGUAUUCUAUCCUAUUUAUUUUCAUGCAUUUUAUCAUUCUUACUUAAAAAAAAUAAUAAUAAUAAAAAAUAAAUAUUUAUUAGCAUUUCCCUUUAGCAUAUAUGCUUCAUGUAUGUUUAUAUCCCUCAUGGAAAUUAUGACUAGUUGCUUGUUAAAUGUUUCUCUAGUGCCUAGUAUACAACUUAGUAUUUCUCUAAGUAUGGAUCACUUAGCUCACUUAAACUGCCAUGAACCUAAAAACUUUGUGGGUUGCAAGUGCUAGAACUAAGUCUAAGUUGUUGUGGGACAUGAGAUAGUAAGACAAGAGCUACUAUAAUAUUUUUCUAAGCAUGCAUGAUUAUCAGAGAUUUAUUCUUAAAAUGAUCAAAACCUUAAUUGUUCCUCAAUGGUGAUGAAUUCCUACCACAGCCAUAUCUACUUUACAUAAUUGCAACCUUUCCACAUAAGCUAUUUGCUUUGUGUUGAGUGUCGUCAAGUCUUGUUGACCCUUGUUAAGAGACUUUUCAUGCUCCUAAGAUCAAGAUCACGUACACACCACAUAUAUAUAUGCUGCUUCUACACUGGAAGUACGCAACCACAUGUAUUUCGCAUCCACUAAAUAGGUUGCUCCAUACUCUAAAUGUUAGAACAUCUCUCUAAGCAUUAUUUGGUAAAUGAGACAUCAAAAGGCUAGGCAAAAUGAAAUAAAAAGAUGGACAUGUGCAAGUCCACAGAAAAAGAAAAUUGAGCACAUGAAAGCUCAUAUAUAGAAAAAAAAAGAAGAAAAAAAUGCUAGCCAUGUCUCAAUACAUAGAGAGUCUAUCAAAUAAAGGAGCAACCUAGUCCACCAUAUAUCACACUUGCACAUCUUGAUCUGGGAGUAUGACACUUCUCUUCAAGGAUCCGAGCUUUGACUUCGCAAUACAUGCAAAGUAAGUAUGCUAUCUCCUUUCAUCCCUACCUUGAACUCCACAUAAGCCUUUUAGAAAUAGGAUGAAAUAGAGAAGGCAACUCUUACCAUAUGCCUUGGUGAGGAAUCAUACACCAUUUGAGUGACAUGAGAGAACCAUAAGAGGAACAUUUAAGCUUUCUUUUGAAAAUAUCACAAACCUCUGAUAUGAAACUUGCUAAGAAUGAGAAAGUUAGUGCUCAAGUCAAACUGUUCUGUCUCUCAACCACCUAAGACAAAGGAAAAGCCAUAAGCCCCAUAAGGGACUAAGGUAAUAGGGGUA